GCCCAGUAUUCCACGUCGCUCGCGUCAACAACUCGUACGCGUAGGGCAACGUAACACCGAGCCAUGAGGGGAAUUAUUUGGAAUCAAGGGCACAGAACCGGGGAAACUUUCCCAGCUAGAAGCUCCUCGUCGGACCGUUGGAACCCCCUACGUUAAAUGGGCAAAUCGAGGCAUUACAUUCCAAGGGCUCGGAUCGUGCAUAGCAUAAAAUUUUGGAAAAACGGUCGAAAACGGGAGCUUUGGAGAGGGGCAACUCGAUGACGGGGGAGGGUUUUGAACGGCGAACUUGACGGAAUAGGUCGAAGGCGACCGAAUACCAGGGCAUAUUGAUCGUGACGCGUUACAGGCUAAAAUACUGUACGCCCCGAUGAACGGAAACCAGGCAGUUGGCAGAGCUUAACGUUACCAUACAGGUAUACCAUAAUUGGGGC
This 431-nucleotide unclassified non-coding RNA is filed under the name Athalia rosae (coleseed sawfly). RNAcentral's name for it is "misc RNA ENSAEAG00005003841.1". The record is from RNAcentral. Lineage: Eukaryota; Metazoa; Arthropoda; Insecta; Hymenoptera; Athaliidae.